This 426-nucleotide ribosomal RNA is filed under the name uncultured bacterium. RNAcentral's name for it is "bacterial SSU rRNA". It matches the Rfam family "Bacterial small subunit ribosomal RNA", at positions 33 to 507 of the family's 1533-position model. The record is from RNAcentral.
ACGCUGGCGGCAGGCUUAACACAUGCAAGUCGAGCGCCCCGCAAGGGGAGCGGCAGACGGGUGAGUAACGCGUGGGAACAUACCCAACUCUACGGAAUAACUCAGGGAAACUUGUGCUAAUACCGUAUACGCCCUUCGGGGGAAAGAUUUAUCGGAGUUGGAUUGGCCCGCGUUGGAUUAGCUAGUUGGUGGGGUAAAGGCCUACCAAGGCGACGAUCCAUAGCUGGUCUGAGAGGAUGAUCAGCCACAUUGGGACUGAGACACGGCCCAAACUCCUACGGGAGGCAGCAGUGGGGAAUAUUGGACAAUGGGCGCAAGCCUGAUCCAGCCAUGCCGCGUGUGUGAUGAAGGCCUUAGGGUUGUAAAGCACUUUCACCGGAGAAGAUAAUGACGGUAUCCGGAGAAGAAGCCCCGGCUAACUUCGUG